This 229-nucleotide ribosomal RNA is filed under the name uncultured bacterium. RNAcentral's name for it is "partial 16S ribosomal RNA". It matches the Rfam family "Bacterial small subunit ribosomal RNA", at positions 15 to 236 of the family's 1533-position model. The record is from RNAcentral.
GAUCCUGGCUCAGGAUGAACGCUGGCUGCGUGCCUAAUACAUGCAAGUAGAACGCUGAAGGAGGAGCUUGCUCUUUCCGGAUGAGUUGCGAACGGGUGAGUAACGCGUAGGUAACCUGCCUGGUAGCGGGGGAUAACUAUUGGAAACGAUAGCUAAUACCGCAUAACAGUAGAUAUUGCAUGAUAUCUGCUUGAAGGGCAAUUGCUCCACUACCAGAUGGACCUGUCGG